GACGAACGCUGGCGGCGUGCCUAACACAUGCAAGUCGAACGGACAGGCCCUGCUUUUGUUGCGUUCUCGAUUGGCGAACGCGUGAGUAACACGUGUGUAUCCUGCCCUUGUCUUUCUGAUAUCUUCAGGAAACUCGGGCUCUUAUCGCAUAUGAUCUCCUGCUCCAUGUUGUUCGUUGGAAAGUUUCGGCGGUUCGGGAUGUACUCGCGGCUUCUCAGCUUGUUGGUGUGGUAGUUACUUACGAAGCCUUUGACGGGUAGCCGGCCUGAGAGGGGUACCGGCGACAUGGGGACUGAGGGACGGACCAGAAUGGUACGGGAGGCAGCAGUGGAGAGUAUUGCAGAGUAGGCGGGAGCCAGAUGCAGAAACGCCGCGUGCGGGAUGACGGGCUUCGGGUUGUGAACCGAUGUGGCCUGUGACGAAGCGUGAGUGACGGUAAUGGGUAAAGAAGCAACGGCUAACUACGUG
RNAcentral lists this ribosomal RNA (468 nucleotides) under uncultured bacterium. RNAcentral's name for it is "partial 16S ribosomal RNA". It matches the Rfam family "Bacterial small subunit ribosomal RNA", at positions 28 to 507 of the family's 1533-position model. The record is from RNAcentral.